Long non-coding RNA from Chelonia mydas (Green sea turtle), 147 nucleotides. RefSeq lists it as uncharacterized. The record is from RefSeq and is a predicted model, not a curated record. The transcript has 2 exons. NCBI's taxonomy places the organism in Eukaryota, Metazoa, Chordata, Testudines, Cheloniidae.
CCAUGAUUGGGAUAAUUCUUUGUUCCUAGCCUUGUACCAUCUUGGUCCAUUCCAGUCCUGCUCCUGCUUUUCCUUAUUCUAGGUGUAUAAAACGACUAUGUCUCACAAUCCCCAUUGCUUCACAAGCCUUUAAGAGCAUGCAGCAUG